GGAGAAGCCAUUCGAGUCCAAACGGGCAAAAUAAAUCCAUUCAGAAUCGCCCAAUUCAACUUCCCCUUCAGCUGCACCACUCUGUUCUUCUGAAAUUUUACUCGCAGUCGCAGAUCUCCCCGAAGCUUAAAAUGGAGAAUAAGCAAUUGGACGUAUCGCCAGCAAAAGCAGUCUUAUUAGGAGCGCUAGCUCCUGGUGUUAACGUUAGUGCUACUUCUGAAGCUUAUAUUUAUCGGAGUGUAGAUGUGGUCACUCAUCUUGAACUCGAGUAAAUGAAGAAUCUUUUUGUUGUUUAAUGUUCAGGGUCCUACAUGGAAUACACUGAAAUCAGCGUUUCUGAUGCUGGGUUCUUGCCUUGCUGUGAUGCUUGGCUUAGCCUUCUCUUCAAGUGACUCUUCUUUGAUACUUCAUGUUGGGUUUCUUGUUCUAAUAGCUGCCACCCUCUUCUUGCUUCUUAGCUGGUAAAGUAAUUCUUCUCUAACAGAUCUCAUUUUUUUACUAGCUUCUGUUAAUUGAAUGAAUUAGGCAUGUGUUUGUAUACUUCUCAAUGCUCUUUCUUCCGCUGUUAGGGUGGAACUUUAUUUUGACCAUGUUUUGUUUUAAUUCUGGACCAGAAUGCUAGCCCAACCUUAUCCAUGUUUUUGUUUUUCCUGGUAAGUGAUAGAUGUCAUACUUUUACUAACACAUUAGGAGAAUUCUGCCGAACAAAGCCUUUUGGAUGGUUGAUUAAAAAUAUCAUCUUGAGUAGUUAAAUACUUGCAGGUUGGAAAUAUAGUCCUUGCAAGGUCCUCUGAGGUUGAGGUUAGCCAACUUGAUCCAAGAAGCAUUACUUGACAAAUCACCACAGGAAUGUAGACCUUUAAUAAAGAAGUGGUUUGUUGUUUUAUGCUAAUAAGCUGAAAAUUGGCCAUUUAUGCAUAUCAAUGUUAGGCUAUGGAAGCACAAUUGCGUCAGGGAAUGUCUCUCAUUUUAGUGCUUUAUCUGUUUGAGGCUUGUGUCUGUGAGGUGUUAAGGACAAUGUCAAUAAGAUUGAUAAACUAUUUCUGGAGCUGAAAGGCAUAAUUUUGGCUGCUGAUAUGUUACUUAGAGCUUAAAAAGUGCAGCAAACAUGAACUCAUCAACAUGCUAGAUAUUAGUGUUCAAUUUCUUUGCUGCAUGAGCCAUGCCUGACUUACGAACAUUCAUAGCAUUGAAAUUUUCAAAUCCCAGAUGUUUCUCAAUCUUCAUUGUAGUGCUGGAGAGAUGGAGAAAUGAUGCGUGAUAUGCAUUUUGGAUACUAAUUCUCCUCAAGCGUAUAUGCAGUUUUAGAUAUUGACUAGUAUUGAGUAAAGAUUGAAAAUCAGGUUGGCUUAAGGGUUAAAACAUUGGAUUUUCUCUUUUUUACAUGUAUAUGUUAAUUAUAUAGUGUGUGAUACCUCCAAUGAUAAGUUUUUAUUACCCAGUCACCCAAUAAUUUAAAGUUUCACAUUGCCUUGUGCUGUCUAAACAGGUCUCUGUGGUGACUUUCUAGAAUACUAAUGCCCUCAAUUGACUUUUCAAAUUAAAUAAAAAGCUGUUUAGCCACUCAGCAGUGCUGCCUUUGUCUCUGCAUUAUGAAACCUUGGAUAUGAUGUCUAUUAAUUGUGUGACUGGAGUUCAGCAUUGUUUUGGUUAACGGUAAGUAGAGAACUAAAUGAAGUUGUCUAUGAUUGUACCUUAAAUGUUAGUUGGGCUAUUAGAGAAUUAGUUAUUUUUCUUGGAUAUUGGAAUAAAAAGCCUUCUAUUAUCUGACUUUACUUCUGGGGAUUCUUGAAUUUUGCCUUGGUGAUUUUUUGAUUCCAUGUAAUUUCAUGUUCGUUCAACCAUUUAAUAAGAAGCCAGGUGUUACACGAAAGGUUAGAGAAAGAAAGACUUACACUUGGAUGCUUCUGGGUUGUGCUUCUGAAGUGUGACUAGGGGGCAUUUACACAUGAACAUGGUUCAUUUAUGAGCUGGAUGAGAGGAAAUUUUCAUGUCCGGUUUUGAAGGGCACAGACUUCAUAAGAGCCUAUCCCAAUUUUUCUUUUGCUA
Molecule: unclassified non-coding RNA, 2049 nt
Filed under: Hevea brasiliensis (rubber tree)
Lineage: Eukaryota; Viridiplantae; Streptophyta; Magnoliopsida; Malpighiales; Euphorbiaceae
Source: RNAcentral